CAGUAGCCACGGUAAUACAGAGGGUGCGAGCGUUAAUCGGAUUUACUGGGCGUAAAGCGUGCGUAGGCGGCUUUUUAAGUCGGAUGUGAAAUCCCUGAGCUUAACUUAGGAAUUGCAUUCGAUACUGGGAAGCUAGAGUAUGGGAGAGGAUGGUAGAAUUCCAGGUGUAGCGGUGAAAUGCGUAGAGAUCUGGAGGAAUACCGAUGGCGAAGGCAGCCAUCUGGACAAAGACUGACGCUCAGGUGCGAAAGCGUGGGGAGCAAACAGGAUUAGAUACCCCUGUAGUCCCUGUCUCUUAUAA
This 301-nucleotide ribosomal RNA is filed under the name uncultured bacterium. RNAcentral's name for it is "partial 16S ribosomal RNA". It matches the Rfam family "Bacterial small subunit ribosomal RNA", at positions 509 to 809 of the family's 1533-position model. The record is from RNAcentral.